AGUGGAGCUAUUGUAUUUCACCGUGGUUGGCUAUCGUGAGAUUCAAUUACUCCAACUAC
RNAcentral lists this microRNA precursor (59 nucleotides) under Schmidtea mediterranea. Its description in RNAcentral is "Sme-Mir-1175-P9_pre stem-loop". Lineage: Eukaryota; Metazoa; Platyhelminthes; Tricladida; Dugesiidae. The record is from RNAcentral.